GUGUCUAAUGAAAAGAGAGACGGUUAGAACUCCCCUUGACGAGGAUGGAGCCCUCAUAUUGUAUAGUUUUAUCUUAUUUUACUACAAUAGUCGUAGUAUCUGUUGUUUUAUUUUU
RNAcentral lists this non-coding RNA (115 nucleotides) under Papilio machaon (common yellow swallowtail). Lineage: Eukaryota; Metazoa; Arthropoda; Insecta; Lepidoptera; Papilionidae. The record is from RNAcentral.